RNAcentral lists this ribosomal RNA (1104 nucleotides) under Hymenoscyphus albidus. Its description in RNAcentral is "LSU rRNA". It matches the Rfam family "Eukaryotic large subunit ribosomal RNA", at positions 86 to 1416 of the family's 3401-position model. Lineage: Eukaryota; Fungi; Ascomycota; Leotiomycetes; Helotiales; Helotiaceae. The record is from RNAcentral.
ACGGCGAGUGAAGCGGUAACAGCUCAAAUUUGAAAUCUGGCGCUUUCAGCGUCCGAGUUGUAAUUUGUAGAAGAUGCUUUGGGUGUGACUCCGGUCUAAGUUCCUUGGAACAGGACGUCAUAGAGGGUGAGAAUCCCGUAUGUGACUGGCUGCCUUCGCCCGUGUAAAGCUCUUUCGACGAGUCGAGUUGUUUGGGAAUGCAGCUCUAAAUGGGAGGUAUAUUUCUUCUAAAGCUAAAUAUUGGCCAGAGACCGAUAGCGCACAAGUAGAGUGAUCGAAAGAUGAAAAGCACUUUGGAAAGAGAGUUAAACAGUACGUGAAAUUGUUGAAAGGGAAGCGCUUGCAACCAGACUUGCCUGCGGUCGAUCAUCCUGGGUUCUCCCUGGUGCACUCGAUCGUGGUCAGGCCAGCAUCGGUUUCGGUGGUGGGAUAAAGGCCUUGGGAAUGUAGCAGUCUUCGGGCUGUGUUAUAGCCCUCGGUGCAAUGCCGCCUACCGGGACCGAGGACCGCGCUUCGGCUAGGAUGCUGGCGUAAUGGUUGUAAGCGACCCGUCUUGAAACACGGACCAAGGAGUCUAACAUCUAUGCGAGUGUUUGGGUGUUAAACCCAUACGCGUAAUUAACGUGAACGGAGGUGAGAACCCUUAAGGGUGCAUCAUCGACCGAUCCUGAUGUCUUCGGAUGGAUUUGAGUAAGAGCAUAGCUGUUGGGACCCGAAAGAUGGUGAACUAUGCCUAAAUAGGGUGAAGCCAGAGGAAACUCUGGUGGAGGCUCGCAGCGGUUCUGACGUGCAAAUCGAUCGUCAAAUUUGGGUAUAGGGGCGAAAGACUAAUCGAACCAUUGAAGUACUAGGUGGGCAAGAGCCCCGCGUGUUCGCGGGGCUAGUCGGCGAUCUGCCGGCAACACUGUCAAAGUGCGGGGACCUCCUGUCGACGCAUCGCUACCGCAGCCCUACGCGAAAGCGGGGGUGCGCACCGGGUUAACGACCCUGGGGAUGGUAAGAACGCGAUGCCGAAGGACGACCUGCAGCCAAACCCUAUCCACGGGUGCCGUUCACAGACUAAAUGUCAGUGGGACCCCCGGGUCUUAAGUUAUAGUCGAUCCC